CGGAGGGGUGUCCGAGUGGUCGAUGGUGCUUGCUUGGAAGGCAUGUGUACCUUUGGGUACCGGAGGUUCGAAUCCUCUCCCCUCCGCCAA
This 90-nucleotide transfer RNA is filed under the name Pyramidobacter piscolens W5455. RNAcentral's name for it is "tRNA-Ser". It matches the Rfam family "tRNA". Rfam says of the family: Transfer RNA (tRNA) molecules are approximately 80 nucleotides in length. Their secondary structure includes four short double-helical elements and three loops (D, anti-codon, and T loops). The record is from RNAcentral. Lineage: Bacteria; Thermotogati; Synergistota; Synergistia; Synergistales; Dethiosulfovibrionaceae.